This is a long non-coding RNA of Candoia aspera, 1039 nucleotides long. RefSeq lists it as uncharacterized. The transcript is spliced from 2 exons. The record is from RefSeq and is a predicted model, not a curated record. Lineage: Eukaryota; Metazoa; Chordata; Lepidosauria; Squamata; Candoiidae.
UCAUCUCUGUUGCUCCUUCUGUCAUGAAGCCCCACUUUUCUAGCAGGUCUUUGUGUGUGUGUGUGUGUGUAUGAAUGUUUGAAGCCAUUAGUGGACAGCUAGGAUCACUGAAUGGAGCAGAGCUUAACAAAGCAAAAAAUGCGCACAGAAAAAGAAUAUUAUCUUCAAUAACAUUAAUGAGCACGUUCGAGAAAUAUAGGUUAUUGAUCUUAUAUACUUAGCCCACCCAAGCAUAGAGAAUUACACACUUAGACAAACUAGUUACAUCAUUCAGGAAAAUGAUGAUUCUUGUUCUUCUUCUGUUCCUAAACUUAAUUGACCCUCAGCCCUCAUUGCUGCUGAAAGCUGCAUGGAGAAAGGGGGAACCUCCUGAAUUCUAGGCCCACCACAUGGCCCAAGAUGGAAAGAGCUGUAGCCGCAUGUUCCCUUCCAGGAUGGUGAAGGAGGAGGAAGUGAGUUAGGAAUGUGGGAGGGACAACAAACAGCUUCCUCCAGAAACACAUAGAGAAUUUGCAUCCUAGAGCAAACUCAUCCACAUGCUAAUGAGGCAUGAGGCUCCAACAAUGUUCAAGUCAGAAAUGUGAACACUACAUAUGAUUGAUGAGCUACUAAGCCAGAGAAGCCAAGUCUAGACAUCCAGUGAGACUGAGUCAUCCAAACACCAAGUGAUUCCCAGUUUACCUCUCCUGGCUGGGCUUACAAGGCCAUUUCCUUCUCUGGUCAUCAGAGCAAACAUUCCUUCUGGCCCUGACCUGCUUGUUUCUAGUACUCACUCCCUUCUUGUCUCACCAGGGAGGUCCAGACAUGGAGUUUCAGUGGAGGGGCUGAUGCCUUUUAAUGUUUCACUGUUAUCGUUCACCCCUUGAGUAAAAAGUUAACAUUAGCACCCAUGCAGACUUCCUUGUUGUUUCCGUAGGGUUUCUAAGAAUGACAAGAAUAUCCAUUCCCCGCCCCAUGCCAUUAGGUUCGUGAUAUAAGGACAGUAUCAAUAUUCCAAUUGAACUAAAAAGCUACAUUAUUAUAUGAUUUAUCUUUUUUU